UGGGGAAUAUUGCGCAAUGGGCGAAAGCCUGACGCAGCGACGCCGCGUGAGGGAUGAAGGUUUUCGGAUCGUAAACCUCUGUCAGAAGGGAAGAAACCGCACUGUGCUAAUCAGCAGUGCCUUGACGGUACCUUCAAAGGAAGCACCGGCUAACUCCGUGCCAGCAGCCGCGGUAAUACGGAGGGUGCAAGCGUUAAUCGGAAUUACUGGGCGUAAAGCGCACGCAGGCUGCUUUGUAAGUCAGGGGUGAAAUCCCACGGCUCAACCGUGGAACUGCCUUUGAUACUGCUUAGCUUGAAUCCGGGAGAGGGUGGCGGAAUUCCAGGUGUAGGAGUGAAAUCCGUAGAUAUCUGGAGGAACAUCAGUGGCGAAGGCGGCCACCUGGACCGGUAUUGACGCUGAGGUGCGAAAGCGUGGGGAGCAAACAGG
Molecule: ribosomal RNA, 429 nt
Filed under: Fusobacteriota bacterium
Lineage: Bacteria; Fusobacteriati; Fusobacteriota
Description: Fusobacteria bacterium partial 16S ribosomal RNA
Rfam family: Bacterial small subunit ribosomal RNA
Source: RNAcentral